This 3174-nucleotide long non-coding RNA is filed under the name Sus scrofa (pig). RNAcentral's name for it is "lncRNA (ENSSSCG00025064578.1)". The record is from RNAcentral. Lineage: Eukaryota; Metazoa; Chordata; Mammalia; Artiodactyla; Suidae.
UUUUUUUUUUGGUCUUUUUUUUUUUUUUUUUGUCUUUUUUGUUGUUGUUGUUGUUAUUUCUUGGGCCGCUUCCGCGGCAUAUGGAGGUUCCCAGGUGCAGUCCUAAAAAGCAAAAGAAAAAAAAAAAUCAGGGAUAUACAUGAUGAAAAUUAUGAUUAUUAGUUAAAUUAUGAUUAUUAGGACAUAAAAAGACUUGACUAAAUGUCUCUAGAAGAAAUGUUACAAACGUGUUAAUUUUGACCAAGUGAAUUUACAAGUCCAAUAUUAUUACAAUAUCCCCAAGUUUUUAGAUGAAGAGAAUUAAACAAAGUAAUUCUUAAGUUUAAGUUAAUACUGAAUUGGAGAACAGUAGUUAAGACAAUAUUGAGAAAGAAUAAACAAGAAGUUUUACUAUGAACAAGGAAAGAACAGACCAUGGGUCAGCAAACUACAGCCAGUAGGUCAAAUCUGGCUGCAGCCAGAUUUUGCAUUCACUGUCUAUGGUUGACUCCCUGAGUCAAUAGUUGCAACAAAGAUUGUGUGGCUCACCAACCUAAUAUAUUUGCUAUCAGGAAUUUUACAGAAAACAUCUGCCAACCUUUGCAACACAUACUUUAAUUAAUUGUGCUGUCAUGUCCAUAGAUUUUUCUCUAAGGGAGCUCAUGAAGGCCAAGAGAAGGCAAAUUUACAAGGUAAUACAAUCCAUGGGUACCACAAGCAAGCAGAAGCUGGAAGGUAGAGAAAUAAAGGUUAGGGAAGCCAGUUAAUAGCAAAAGAAGCAUGAACAAUGGUAAGGAGAUUUAAAAAUACUGAUGCCCGGGCCACUUAAAUCACAAUAUCUCACCUGGUUUAUUUUUAAAGUUCCUCAGGUGAUUCUAAUGUUUAACUCUGAUAGAGAACCACUGAGUUAGAAAGAACAGCAAAUUCAGAGUGGCUGGGUGAUGUCAGUGAUGUAGCACAAGAGUAAUGAACCAAAAAUACCUGCUGUUAAGGUGCCCAGAGCUGCUAGAAUCCAAUUCCCGUACUCAAUACUGUUCCCACAUAUCAAUUCCCAUUAAAGCCCCAUCUUCCACAUUGUUCAACGUGUUUACAUACAAUAAACCCCUAUUAAUGAGGUAGGCUGAUUAACUUCUUUUCUUGAGACCAAAAGAGCCAACUUCAUAUAGAAAUUUCUAUCAGAAAUAUAGUUGCAUGAAAAAAACGCCCAGCAGAAAUGUAAAACACUUGGAAUUGAUAGGGUAUGACUAUAGAAUAAAAAAAUCAUACACAAUCUACCCCAUGUACCAGAGCGAAAUCUUUUUCAGAAGCCCAGUUUAUGUUGUAGCAAAGCCACUAAUUAUACAGCUGCCUUUGUGAUUCAUACCUGCACCCACUUAGGGUUAAGCACUGAGGCAAAUGGUAGUGACUGAUUACAGCAACUACAAAGAAAUAAGCCAAGCGGGGUUCAACAGUUGUUUCUCUUCUGACGAUGACAUGCAAAUUCUGAUAUAAUCACAAGGUAUCGACCCUGGAAAGCAUGACUUUGUCUCUGUUACAGCUAGAUAUGGUGCUGUUACCAUUCCAACAGGCAUGGAAUAACAUGGAUUAGACCAUAGGUUCCCAAGUUUGAGAACCAUUGGGCUAAAUGUGUCAGUUCAGGUUCCUACAAAUACAUAUUCACUCCCCUCUGAAGACCACCAUUCUAUCUAUUGUCACAGCUGUAGCACAGCCCUUAAUGACCAGCUUUUGUUUUACAUUAUCUAUUAUUACAUCCUCUCCACUGAGCACAGUUGAUGGGACAUACAUUGCCAGGAGCCUAUGACAUGUCUCAGCAUGAAAAAGCACUGCACAGAUAAACUAGGCCAAUUAAGAUUCUCAUUCUUUGGAAUUUGAGUAGAAACAAUGAAAACUAGGUCAUUAGCAGUGAAUGCUGAAGCUGAAAGCCUCGUCAAAGUAGGGCUUAGUGGCAAAUCCAGUCAUGAGGAAGAAAAAAUGAAGAUGGAAGAAUAGCUGAUCAAAUAGCUGGUCUCAUUCAAGUCAACAGAAAAGGUCUACAAAUCCCAAGUGAUUAAGAUUCCUAUGAAAUCCCUAUCUUCUUUACUCUGUCUUACUAUAUGAACCUAUAUGAUAAAUAUCCAUUUCUUUAGCUAACCCUGUGUCUUAUUUCUUGAAACCAGAAAUCCUAUGUAAUCAGAAAAUAGUGUAGAGUUGGGUUACAUAAACAGAACUUUGGUAGGACAUGGAAUAUUUAAACCUGUUUAUUACUUGGUGGUGGGACAGUAACAGACACACCCCACCACAACCCAGGCUAGAAUGUUAAGGGUCUACAGGAACUGUGGCAAAGUUACUAUUGCAAGACUACACAUCUCAUGAAGGUAAGUUUUGGUACAAUCACAACAGAGGAAAUUCAGUCACCAAGGAAGAUCAAAGAUAGGUGGAUGCUUCCAAAUUUGGCAGGCAAAUUUCUAAAGUGGCCUCAUGACAUCACUUCAGACUACAGUAUCUGGCUGUGACCUGGUUACUCUCUAACAUUUCUGCUUAAGAGCUGCUGGAAAAGUAUAAACAGAAGCAUCUUUAGAAAUGAAAAAAAUGAGAUGAAAGGUAUAUGUGCUCUGUGGUCAAGAUGUGGAAAUGCAAUACAAACACAUGUGAAUCAAGUGGUGGCUACACUCAAGUCCCAUCUAAGUUCAACUGUCCCACUCAGUUCUCGAGACAGGCAGUCCUAGUCCUAGAGUAAUGAAUUUUAGAAUAUGACCUGUCCUGUCAUCCCAAGCAGAAUGUACCAGAUAUGAGACACAGUACCCAAGUGUUAUGCCACUGUAAGACUCAAAAACUGACUACUCAAGCAAAGGUAAGCGAAGCCACUUAAACCCUUGCAUUGAAAAAUAAAGUUUGUGAAAUGCAGAAAGAGUGAGGCCCAUAGCAGAGGAAACAAUAUUCAAUAACAGUGCUGGGAAACAUGAGAUACAGCCAAAGACACUAGAGUAGUAAGCAAGGCUUAGUAAUGAAUAACUGAAAACUUAUGAGGAAGCAUAAUACAACAAAGCUAGGGAGUAAGCUAAAGCUUGAGUAUAUAAUGAGGAGGAAGGCAUGAAGGCAGAGAAAAAGAGGAAUUAAGCAUAAGGAUCACAGUUAAUAACACUGUAGUAAUACUGAAAAUUCAUUCAGAGUAGAUUUCAGGUACUCUCAAUCACGAAAGAAAAAUACGGUAACUAU